RNAcentral lists this ribosomal RNA (1306 nucleotides) under Limnadia lenticularis. Its description in RNAcentral is "16S ribosomal RNA". It matches the Rfam family "Bacterial large subunit ribosomal RNA". Lineage: Eukaryota; Metazoa; Arthropoda; Branchiopoda; Diplostraca; Limnadiidae. The record is from RNAcentral.
AUUUUAACUUAUUGUAUAAUUAUUUGUAAAACAUUAUUCCCCUUUUAUGCUUAGUAUGAGUUUCAAAAAAGCUUAAUUUAUGAUAGUUUAUAGUACUGUAAAGGAAAGUUGAAAAAAAUGAAAACUUAAUUUCAUCAAAGAAGAUAUAUAUAAUCGUACCUUGUGUAUCAGGGGUCAGUAAAAUCAGCUAGAUAAAUAGACCUCCCGAAAGGAAAUGAGCUAACCCCGAGAAACCCUCACUGUGGCAAAAGUGUAAUGAACUCGAGGUUAGAAGCAAAACGUUAACCGCAUUUCCUUUUAUCUGGUUUUUAAGAAAUGAAUUCAAUUCAAUUUUUAUUAGUUAUCUGGCCUUAACACCCAAUAAAUUAAUAAAAAUAAAAUUUUAGAGGGACGAGCUUCUAAAAUUAAUAUUACAAGAAAAAUCCAAACAAAAAUUUAUCUAAGGCCUAGAAUCAGCCAAAGAAAAUUUUACGUUAUAGUUAAAUAUAAAUUAUAAUAAUAUUUUCUCUUCCUUAAUGCUUAUAUUAAAAAACAUAAAUAAACAAAAAAUUUAUAGAAAUAAUACUGUCAUGAGUACAAAAUAAUGUAUAAUAUUACCUUACAAAAAAUUUAAAUUUUUAUUCAAACUAGAUUGAUGAAAGGAAUUAGGCAACCAUUUUUCCGACUGUUUAACAAAACAUUUCCUCAAGAAAAAUUUGAGGUAAGACCUGCCCAAUGUUCUUAUCAAUGGCCGCGGUAUUUUGACCGUGCGAAGGUAGCAUAAUCAUUAGUCUCUUAAUUAGAGGCUUGUAUGAACGGUUAAACGAGAAAAAACUGUCUCUCAUCAAAUUAUGGAAUUUUAUUUUUAAGUGAAAAAGCUUAAAUAAAUCUGAAGGACGAUAAGACCCUAUAGAGCUUUAUUUCCUAACUCUGUGAACCCCAUAGUAUAAAAGUUUAACAGAAUAAAGAAAUUUUGUUGGGGCGACAAAAAGACAAAAAUCAACUCUUAUUUUUUAAACAAACAAAAUUGAACUAUUGAUCCUUACAGAAAGAUCAAAUGAACAAGUUACCUUAGGGAUAACAGCGUAAUCCUUUUCAAGAGUUCUCAUCAACAAAAGGGUUUGCGACCUCGAUGUUGGAUUAAGAAUUUGCUAGGGUGCAGAAGCUCUAGUAAAAGGUCUGUUCGACCUUUAAAAUCUUACAUGAUCUGAGUUCAGACCGGCGUGAGCCAGGUUGGUUUCUAUCCUCAGACUAAAAAGCGUCAUUCUAGUACGAAAGGACCGAAUGGUGUAGAUAAUCUAAAACCAAGAUGAAUUUUAACCUUCAC